RNAcentral lists this transfer RNA (62 nucleotides) under Chiropterargas boueti. RNAcentral describes it as "Argas boueti tRNA-Glu". The record is from RNAcentral. Lineage: Eukaryota; Metazoa; Arthropoda; Arachnida; Ixodida; Argasidae.
UAUUUUUAUAGUGUAUAUAACACAUAACAUUUUCAUUGUUAACAAGUAACUACUAAAAAUAU